RNAcentral lists this ribosomal RNA (253 nucleotides) under uncultured bacterium. RNAcentral's name for it is "partial 16S ribosomal RNA". It matches the Rfam family "Bacterial small subunit ribosomal RNA", at positions 524 to 776 of the family's 1533-position model. The record is from RNAcentral.
UACGUAGGGUGCGAGCGUUGUCCGGAAUUAUUGGGCGUAAAGGGCUCGUAGGCGGUUUGUCGCGUCGGGAGUGAAAAUCCAGGGCUUAACUCUGGACUGGCUUCCGAUACGGGCAGACUAGAGGUAUGCAGGGGAGAACGGAAUUCCUGGUGUAGCGGUGAAAUGCGCAGAUAUCAGGAGGAACACCGGUGGCGAAGGCGGUUCUCUGGGCAUGUCCUGACGCUGAGGAGCGAAAGUGUGGGGAGCGAACAGG